AGUCACUGACAUUAGAUACCCCGGUAGUCCAGGGUGUAAACGCUGCAGACUUGGUGUUGGGAACCCUUCGGGGGUGCUCAGUGCCGGAGAGAAGUUGUUAAGUCUGCUACUUGGGGAGUACGUCCGCAAGGAUGAAACUUAAAGGAAUUGGCGGGGGAGCACCGCAACGGGAGGAGCGUGCGGUUUAAUUGGAUUCAACACCGGAAAACUCACCAGGGGAGACUGUUACAUGAAACCCAGACUAAUGAUCUUGGUUGAUUUUCAG
This 265-nucleotide ribosomal RNA is filed under the name uncultured archaeon. Its description in RNAcentral is "partial 16S ribosomal RNA". It matches the Rfam family "Archaeal small subunit ribosomal RNA", at positions 718 to 982 of the family's 1478-position model. The record is from RNAcentral.